This 343-nucleotide ribosomal RNA is filed under the name Calanus helgolandicus. Its description in RNAcentral is "partial 16S ribosomal RNA". Lineage: Eukaryota; Metazoa; Arthropoda; Copepoda; Calanoida; Calanidae. The record is from RNAcentral.
GCAUUAGUGUUAAGGUAGCAUAGUAAUUAGUUUUUUAAUUGGAAAAUGGAAUGAAUGGCUCCACUAAAGCAUAGUAUUUAUACUAAAAAAUGAAAUUUUAAUUUAAGUGAAAAUACUUAAAUGAUAUAUUUAGACGAGAAGACCCUAUGAAGCUGGUAGACCAUAAGUGUAAUUAUUUCAUAGUAGUAGGUCUAUUUUUUGGGGUAAAAUUUAAUAAUUAUAUUAAUACAGAUUUGUUCAAACUUAUCCUUCUGGAAUUAUGAAUAAGCUCCUCUAGGGAUAACAGCAUUAUGCUUAAAAGAGUUCUUAUCAGAAUAAGCGUUUGUGACCUCGAUGUUGAAUA